GAGGAGGUAGAUAGGUUGGGGGUGCAAGUGUGGUAACACAUGUAGCUGACCAAUACUAAUAAGUCAAAGGAUUAACCUA
RNAcentral lists this ribosomal RNA (79 nucleotides) under Fusobacteriaceae bacterium. RNAcentral's name for it is "partial 23S ribosomal RNA". It matches the Rfam family "Bacterial large subunit ribosomal RNA", at positions 2846 to 2925 of the family's 2925-position model. The record is from RNAcentral. Lineage: Bacteria; Fusobacteriati; Fusobacteriota; Fusobacteriia; Fusobacteriales; Fusobacteriaceae.